UACGGGGGGGGCAAGCGUUGUUCGGAAUUACUGGGCGUAAAGGGCUCGUAGGCGGCCAACUAAGUCAUACGUGAAAUCCCUCGGCUUAACCGGGGAACUGCGUCUGAUACUGGUUGGCUUGAGUGCAGGAGAGGAAUGCGGAAUUCCAGGUGUAGCGGUGAAAUGCGUAGAUAUCUGGAGGAACACCGGUGGCGAAGGCGGCAUUCUGGACUGCAACUGACACUGAAAGACGAAAGCCAGGGGAGCAAACGGG
RNAcentral lists this ribosomal RNA (253 nucleotides) under uncultured bacterium. Its description in RNAcentral is "partial 16S ribosomal RNA". It matches the Rfam family "Bacterial small subunit ribosomal RNA", at positions 524 to 776 of the family's 1533-position model. The record is from RNAcentral.